AUUGAACGCUGGCGGCAUGCCUUACUCAUGCAAGUCGAACGGCAGCGGGGGAGAAGCUUGCUUUUCCUGCCGGCGAGUGGCGAACGGGCGAGUAAUACAUCGGAACGUGCCCUGUAGUGGGGGAUAACUAGUCGAAAGAUUAGCUAAUACCGCAUACGACCUGAGGGUGAAAGUGGGGGACCGCAAGGCCUCAUGCUAUAGGAGCGGCCGAUGUCUGAUUAGCUAGUUGGUGGGGUAAAGGCCUACCAAGGCGACGAUCAGUAGCUGGUCUGAGAGGACGAUCAGCCACACUGGGACUGAGACACGGCCCAGACUCCUACGGGAGGCAGCAGUGGGGAAUUUUGGACAAUGGGCGAAAGCCUGAUCCAGCAAUGCCGCGUGUGUGAAGAAGGCCUUCGGGUUGUAAAGCACUUUUGUCCGGAAAGAAAUGGCUCUGGUUAAUACCUGGGGUCGAUGACGGUACCGGAAGAAUAAGGACCGGCUAACUACGUGCCAGCCGCCGCCGUAA
RNAcentral lists this ribosomal RNA (508 nucleotides) under uncultured bacterium. Its description in RNAcentral is "partial 16S ribosomal RNA". It matches the Rfam family "Bacterial small subunit ribosomal RNA", at positions 30 to 523 of the family's 1533-position model. The record is from RNAcentral.